This is an RNA transcript of Temnothorax curvispinosus, 1072 nucleotides long. RefSeq lists it as uncharacterized. Lineage: Eukaryota; Metazoa; Arthropoda; Insecta; Hymenoptera; Formicidae. The record is from RefSeq and is a predicted model, not a curated record. The transcript has 3 exons.
AGUACGUGCGUGCGAGAACAAGAGACGAGAAAAAAGAGAGCAUUCGACAUCAUUCGUCCAUCGUGGUCAGAAGUGUCCGAGCUAUCCUGAGUUGUCUGCUGUAUAUUAUAGCUAUCCGAAAUUCUGAGACCUGCCGCCGAUAUCUGCAGUGGGUGUACGAAGGUGUGAUGAUUUCAUGACGAGGCCAGAAUUAUUGAAAAGGACGACCACGGAGAUAGCCCGGGAAAAAAUAUUCAUAUCUGACGAUCAUAUAUCCUCAGAUCUGGCCAAUUUCCAUAUCUGACCAUAUAUGGCCAUUCAUAUAUGAUCAUAUAUGAUCAGAUAUGAAUAUUUUUUCCCGGGAGAAGGAAGGACGAAAUUCAUGAGAAGGACGGACGUCGCCAUUUUCGGGGAUUCGCCCAUUACAUGUCUUGAUACGGAAGGAGGUUUUAUCCGUGAUCGCUUGCUGGGCUUUCACUAUUCCGCCAGUCUCCCAAAAGCGGGAGAACUAUUUCACGCAUGUGAAAGAAUGGCUAUAAGAACAUUCAGGAGAUUUCCUUUUUUACAUGGGAUGCUGAAAUGUACAGUCGCCUCGCUGUUGAUUGCUGGGCAUCAUCCCACGAUAUAAUCCUGUGCUUUAACUACCGGGAUUAUUUCCUUUGAGUGCUCAAAGUAAAACGUCGCUAAUAUCGGUUGCAACCACGCGUAACUUUUACCUAAAGUCUUACACGUCUUUUAUGUUGUCGUGUAUGAAUAAUUAUACGGAUAAUUAGUCUCUCGUAAAAUGUAUUCGCUCCUUAUUACGACAAUUGAUCAAAUUGCUAAUGAUAAAACAUUGUAAAUAUCUCUUACAUAUACUUAGUUUCGAAUUACUUGCGUUACGAUUCUGGAUAUAUUUUCUGUAUUAUGAAGUUUACAUAAACAUAAAGUAUCUCGUAUUCAAUUCUCGUGAAUUAGAUAUGAGUUUAUAUUUCUUUGCCAUAUUUACUACAUGUAUAUGUUUAAAUGAAUUUUCACUACAUUUACGUAUUGUUUAACAGCCAUUGUGGCAUUUGCUCAUUUAUAUUACAAAAUAAAUAGAACGUUUAAAAUA